GACGAACGCUGGCGGCGUGCUUAACACAUGCAAGUCGAACGGAAAGGCCCUGCUUUUGUGGUGUUCUCGAGUGGCGAACGGGUGAGUAACACGUGAGUAACCUGCCCUUGUCUUUGGUAUAACUUCAGGAAACUGGGGCUAAUACCGGAUAGGAUCUCCUGCUGCAUGGUGGGGGUUGGAAAGUUUCGGCGGUUGGGGAUGGACUCGCGGCUUAUCAGCUUGUUGGUUGGGUAGUGGCUUACCAAGGCUUUGACGGGUAGCCGGCCUGAGAGGGUGACCGGGGACAGUGGGACUGAGAUACGGCGCAGACUGCUAAGGGAGGCAGCAGUGGGGAGUAUUGCACAAUGGGCGGAAGCCUGAGGAAGCAACGCGGCGGGCGGGAUGACGGCCUUCGGGUUGUAAACCGCUGUCGCCUGUGACGAAGCGUGAGUGACGGUAAUGGGUAAAGAAGCACCGGCUAACUACGUG
Molecule: ribosomal RNA, 468 nt
Filed under: uncultured bacterium
Lineage: Bacteria
Description: partial 16S ribosomal RNA
Rfam family: Bacterial small subunit ribosomal RNA
Source: RNAcentral